This 509-nucleotide ribosomal RNA is filed under the name uncultured bacterium. RNAcentral describes it as "bacterial SSU rRNA". It matches the Rfam family "Bacterial small subunit ribosomal RNA", at positions 28 to 529 of the family's 1533-position model. The record is from RNAcentral.
GAUGAACGCUAGCUACAGGCUUAACACAUGCAAGUCGAGGGGUAGCAGGAUCUAGCAAUAGAUUGCUGACGACCGGCGCACGGGUGAGUAACACGUAUCCAACCUUCCGUUUACUCGGGGAUAGCCUUUCGAAAGAAAGAUUAAUACCCGAUAGUAUGUUUUUCCCGCAUGGGAGAACCAUUAAAGUUUUUCGGUAAUCGAUGGGGAUGCGUUCCAUUAGGCAGUUGGUGAGGUAACGGCUCACCAAACCUUCGAUGGAUAGGGGUUCUGAGAGGAAGGUCCCCCACAUUGGAACUGAGACACGGUCCAAACUCCUACGGGAGGCAGCAGUGAGGAAUAUUGGUCAAUGGACGAGAGUCUGAACCAGCCAAGUAGCGUGAAGGAUGACUGCCCUAUGGGUUGUAAACUUCUUUUAUAUGGGAAUAAAGGAGCCUACGUGUAGGUUUUGAUGUACCAUACGAAUAAGGAUCGGCUAACUCCGUGCCAGCAGCCGGGUAAACAUACUCGUA